AGAACGAACGCUGGCGGCAUGCCUAACACAUGCAAGUCGAACGAGACCUUCGGGUUUAGUGGCGCACGGGUGCGUAACGCGUGGGAAUCUGCCCUUGGGUUCGGAAUAACAGUUGGAAACGACUGCUAAUACCGGAUGAUGACGUAAGUCCAAAGAUUUAUCGCCCAGGGAUGAGCCCGCGUAGGAUUAGCUAGUUGGUGAGGUAAAGGCUCACCAAGGCGACGAUCCUUAGCUGGUCUGAGAGGAUGAUCAGCCACACUGGGACUGAGACACGGCCCAGACUCCUACGGGAGGCAGCAGUGGGGAAUAUUGGACAAUGGGCGAAAGCCUGAUCCAGCAAUGCCGCGUGAGUGAUGAAGCCUUAGGUUGUAAAGCUACUUUUACCCGGGAAGAUAAUGACUGUACCGGAGAAUAAGCUCCGGCUAACUCCGUGACCAGCAGCCGAC
Molecule: ribosomal RNA, 446 nt
Filed under: uncultured soil bacterium
Lineage: Bacteria
Description: bacterial SSU rRNA
Rfam family: Bacterial small subunit ribosomal RNA
Source: RNAcentral